RNAcentral lists this ribosomal RNA (329 nucleotides) under uncultured bacterium. RNAcentral describes it as "partial 16S rRNA". It matches the Rfam family "Bacterial small subunit ribosomal RNA", at positions 8 to 334 of the family's 1533-position model. The record is from RNAcentral.
AGAGUUCGAUCAUGGCUCAGGACGAACGCUGGCGGCGCGCCUAACACAUGCAAGUCGAGCGGUGAAGGCCCCCCUCGGGGGGCGGAUGGAGCGGCGAACGGGCGAGUAACGCGUGGGCAACCUGCCCCCCUGACGGGAAUAGCCCGGGGAAACCCGGGGUAAUGCCCGGCGCCCCCGCGGGGCCGCAUGGCCCGGCGGGGAAAGCCCAGGCGCAGGGGGAUGGGCCCGCGUCCCAUCAGGCAGCCGGCGGGGUGACGGCCCACCGGGCUUUCGACGGGUAGCCGGGCUGAGAGGCCGAUCGGCCGCAUUGGGACUGAGACACGGCCCAG